This 334-nucleotide unclassified non-coding RNA is filed under the name soil metagenome. Its description in RNAcentral is "partial contains 5.8S ribosomal RNA, internal transcribed spacer 2, and large subunit ribosomal RNA". The stretch from base 1 to 120 matches the Rfam family "5.8S ribosomal RNA", at positions 35 to 154 of the family's 154-position model. The record is from RNAcentral.
GAUGAAGAACGUAGCGAAAUGCGAUAAGUAGUGUGAAUUGCAGAAUUCAGUGAAUCAUCGAAUCUUUGAACGCACAUUGCGCCCCUUGGUAUUCCAUGGGGCAUGCCUGUUCGAGCGUCAUUUGUACCUUCAAGCUUUGCUUGGUGUUGGGUGUUUGUCUCGCCUUUGCGUGUAGACUCGCCUUAAAAUAAUUGGCAGCCGGCGUAUUGAUUUCGGAGCGCAGUACAUCUCGCGCUUUGCACUCAUAACGACAGCGUCCAAAAGUACAUUUUACACUCUUGACCUCGGAUCAGGUAGGGAUACCCGCUGAACUUAAGCAUAUCAUAAGCGGAGA